Molecule: ribosomal RNA, 541 nt
Filed under: uncultured bacterium
Lineage: Bacteria
Description: bacterial SSU rRNA
Rfam family: Bacterial small subunit ribosomal RNA
Source: RNAcentral
AGAGUUUGAUCCUGGCUCAGGACGAACGCUGGCGGCGUGCCUAAUACAUGCAAGUUGAACGCAACAAAGACACCAGAGCUUGCUCUACCGUCUUUGUUGAGUAGCGAACGGGUGAGUAACGCGUGGGUAACCUGCCUUAUAGCGGGGGAUAACUAUUGGAAACGAUAGCUAAUACCGCAUAACAAUAGAGAUUGCAUAAUCUUUAUUUGAAAGUGCCAACUGGUACACUAUGAGAUGGACCCGCGUUGUAUUAGCUAGUUGGUAAUGUAAUGGACUACCAAGGCGAUGAUACAUAGCCGACCUGAGAGGGUGAUCGGCCACAUUGGGACUGAGACACGGCCCAAACUCCUACGGGAGGCAGCAGUAGGGAAUCUUCGGCAAUGGACGAAAGUCUGACCGAGCAACGCCGCGUGAGUGAAGAAGGUUUUCGGAUCGUAAAACUCUGUUGUUAGAGAAGAAUGUUGAUUAGAGUGGAAAAUUAAUCAAGUGACGGUAUCUAACCAGAAAGGGACGGCUAACUACGUGCCAGCAGCCGCGGUAA